UCCAGACUCCUACGGGAGGCAGCAGUGAGGAAUAUUGGUCAAUGGCCGAAGGGCUGAACCAGCCAAGCCGCGUGAAGGAAUAAGGCCCUACGGGUCGUAAACUUCUUUAGUCAGGGAACAAAGGGCGCCACGUGUGGCGUUUUGCGAGUACCUGAAGAAAAAGCAUCGGCUAACUCCGUGCCAGCAGCCGCGGUAAUACGGAGGAUGCGAGCGUUAUCCGGAUUUAUUGGGUUUAAAGGGUGCGCAGGCGGAAUGUCAAGUCAGCGGUAAAAUUUCGGGGCUCAACCCCGUCGUGCCGUUGAAACUGGCGUUCUUGAGUGAGCGAGAAGUAUGCGGAAUGCGCGGUGUAGCGGUGAAAUGCAUAGAUAUCGCGCAGAACUCCGAUUGCGAAGGCAGCAUGCCGGCUCCACACUGACGCUGAGGCACGAAAGCGUGGGUAUCGAACAGGAUUAGAUACCCUUGUACA
Molecule: ribosomal RNA, 466 nt
Filed under: uncultured bacterium
Lineage: Bacteria
Description: bacterial SSU rRNA
Rfam family: Bacterial small subunit ribosomal RNA
Source: RNAcentral